RNAcentral lists this unclassified non-coding RNA (329 nucleotides) under plant metagenome. RNAcentral's name for it is "partial contains 5.8S ribosomal RNA, internal transcribed spacer 2, and large subunit ribosomal RNA". The stretch from base 1 to 105 matches the Rfam family "5.8S ribosomal RNA", at positions 50 to 154 of the family's 154-position model. The record is from RNAcentral.
GAAAUGCGAUAAGUAAUGUGAAUUGCAGAAUUCCGUGAAUCAUCGAAUCCUUGAACGCACAUUGCGCCCUCUGGUAUUCCGGGGGGCAUGCCUGUCCGAGCGUCAUUGCGAACCCCUCAAGCACGGCUUGUGUGAUGGGCCCUCCCGCGUCUUGGUCGUCAAGACGGGCCCGAAAUGCAGUGGCGGCUUCGCGGUUAUCCGAUCAGCCAGAGCGUAUGGGGACUUUCUCUCUGUCACACGCCCGCGGCGCGGACCGACGCCUGUCGACCUUCAUUCAUCGUUUUCUCGGUUGACCUCGGAUCAGGUAGGGAUACCCGCUGAACUUAAGC